AAACUUCCACCUGGGUAAAGCAAGUCCUCUGCUUCUCCCAACGGACCGUCUCCGGCAACUCUGUAACCCUCAACAGCUCCCAUGAGGAUCACUUGAGUGGCCCAGAUAGCUAAGAUACUCUGAGCGUGGACCAAGCUCGGGUUGCCCAAGUAAUCGAGCCCUCCUUCGCUGAAGAUCUGUGAACCGGCCUUGAACCAAACCGCUUCUCCGAACUUCACUCCGUUCCGAGCCAAGAGCUCAGGGAAAACACAUCCUAGGGCUCCGAGCAUGGCCCAUCUGCAGUGGAUAACUUCUAGCUCACGGUUCCUUGCGAAAGUCUCUGGGUCGGCGGAUAGACCGGCGGUGUCCCAUCCGUAGUCUCCGGGGAACUCACCGGUGAGGUAGCUUGGGGGCUCGCCGGAGAAUGGACCCAAGUACUUGACUCUGUCGGAUCCGUACCAUGGGCUGCCAGAUGGGCCUGUGGGCUUGGCGGUUUUGCGCAUGGUGACACGACCGGUUCCAAAUACUUCGGAGGCUGCCGGUGAGAGCUUCACGGCCUUUCCGGCGAAGGCAGGGGAGGACAGAGCCAUGGUUGAGGCAGCCAUUGGAAUUCUUCUUCUUUUUUUUCUUUUUUUGGUUUUUUUUUUUGUGACUGGUGAGAGUGAUUGAAAAUGGUUGGGGUAUAGAUCCAUUUUAUAGAAAUCUUAAGAAUGAGAUUUUGGAUAUGUCGUUUGGUUGUCCUAUGUGUCACUCUCUACUCCACCAACUUUUGGUUUAGAUUCUUUGAUUGCAAUGAAGACACUUGUGAU
This 788-nucleotide long non-coding RNA is filed under the name Eutrema salsugineum. RNAcentral's name for it is "long non-coding RNA (ESAL_LNC001951)". The record is from RNAcentral. Lineage: Eukaryota; Viridiplantae; Streptophyta; Magnoliopsida; Brassicales; Brassicaceae.